Phyllostomus discolor (pale spear-nosed bat) is the source of this 5648-nucleotide long non-coding RNA. RefSeq lists it as uncharacterized. Lineage: Eukaryota; Metazoa; Chordata; Mammalia; Chiroptera; Phyllostomidae. The record is from RefSeq and is a predicted model, not a curated record. The transcript is spliced from 2 exons.
CAGAUUAUAUCACAAAAAUGGCCUCUUUCCUCUUCCUCUUCCUUCAUUUGUUCAUUCUUCCCUUAGUUCCUUCCUUCCUUCCACAACUAUUUGUUAAAUGCUUAUGCCAACCACCAUGAAAGGUGCUGAAGAUAAAAAAUAUAUAUGUAUAUGAGCAUGAUACUCUCAUCAUCCUUCUUAUAAUUCAAAAGGGUAAAAGAUAGAAACAAUUAGUGCAAUGACUUUCUGUCUUCUGGAAUUAAAAUACAUGCAUCCUUUAAAAGAUACAUCCUUAAAGGUAGCUAACUCAUUAAAAAGGUUUACAAAAAAUUAGAAUGCCUUUGUCAAAUUUCUUUGCUGUCUUAUAUUGUCAAUCACCCUAUAUCUAAUUUUAGACAUGGGCUAAUUUGAGAUCCUACUUCCUUCAUCAUUUGAUUUGGUCAGUUGAAAAGGAUGGGGAAGGGCAAAGACAGAAUACCAGCCUCAGGAUUUCUGUAGAGGUGGUGUGAAAUCAUCUGCUUUCUGCAGUGGAAGGUAGCACAGAAAUUGGCAGCUGGUGGUUGGUUCCCAGGUUUGUGACUGUCUCUGAGCAAAGCCCCUGGAAGAGUCUAGUGUUAAAAUGAAGGGUGAUCCGGUUAUAGAAUCAGAUAGAUUUGCCCAUCAUUUUUCAUUCAAUGAGUAUUUAUCCUUAGAAAAGGGACUCCUCGGUGUCCUAUAGUUGCUGUUAAUUAGAAAAAUACAGCUGUAGAGAUAAUCAUGGAAAUACUCCUAGGAUAACCAUCUGUCCAUAGCUCUUUCCAGUAGCUGACAUAGCUUCCCAACAGUCAAACUUGUCCCCCGCAGUCCUAAGGAAUGCCAGGAGCCUGGGGUUGAGAGGGGAAGGAGAGAGGAGCCUGGUAGGGAAGCGCCUGUCCUCCGUCUCUACUUCUGAUAGAAUGGGUUCACCUUGUGGAGAUUUCUGACACUAUCAGCAGUUUUGCCUCUGUGCUGCCUCUCUUUUGUGGUCACAGUUCCAUCAAGGAUGGUAUGAAGCACUGGUUACGUUCACUAAGAUGACAAUGUAGAAAUGAAGUCAGUAAUUGCUGGGGACAGCAUCUUUAUGCCAGCCCAGCCACAACUGAUAGGCAGUUGAAGGAGAUCAGCAGUGGCCUUGUGUGGAAGAAAACAUAUUAGAAAUGAAGAAGCUCUAAGUUCUUGCUUUUUUAUUGUGUAUAAGCCCCUCAUGAACCGCACUAUCCUGUCUGGAGAGGGAUGGUGAAAACCAGCGUUGAUCUACUUACGUAAGAUGAAGAACCUGAAAGUUCCAAUGCCAUGGUUCUCUCCCUUAAAAAAGUAGUAAAUAAAUUAAAAAAAAAAACACCUUGAUGCACUGAAAUAGAGUUUAAAAUUCUUGUAUUGAUUGCAUCUUCUAUUAACACCAAGAUUAGCUUUUGUGGCAGAGGCUGGCUAGCUAUUUAUCAAUCCCAUUUCCUUUUCUUCUGGGUGCUAAAUCGUGUUUUGCAAGUUAAUCCUGAAGCUAAAUUCAGCCACAUGGCUAUGUUUUGGCCAAUCAAAGGUGAGUGGAAGUGACAGGUGCCACUUCCAAGCCCUGCCCAUGAAAAUUUUUGGUGCAAAAUCCAUUGUGCUCUUUCUCCUUCCACUGGAGUGAUGGAGAUGUGCACCCUUCCUGUUGAAGGAGACGGGACAACUGGAAGGAAGGCUCUUGGGUCUAGGAGUAAGACCAAUGAUUGUGAACAUGUGGACUUGUGUGGCCAAGAAAUAAAUUUCUACCACAUUGGAUCCAUUGUACAUUUUGGGGUUUGUGUGCCCCAAUGAGACUUGUCAUCAUAAUUUCACCUGAAUUAGAGAAUAGGAGCUCCAAGAAGCACUUGGAAGUUCCGAGAACAAUACAAGUUCUGAACUGAAGGACUGGAAACUUUCCAUGGUGGGUGACAGGGUGUGUGUAGGAGCAUCAUGGAUCAGCUACUGAUAAGGCCACAUUAGCAAAGACCUUCCUCCUCCAACCCCUGCCUCCCAGAAGUUAGUUACUGGUAUUAAUGUGGGUGCUGCUUAAGGCUUUCCAUUAAGAGGCUAGAAGACACCCACAUGGCACAGGGAGGCAGGACAGUGAUGAUUCAGAGAAGCAGCUCUGAGUCAGACUGCAUGGGUUUGCACCCUGACUCUGCAAGUUUCUGCAUGACUUUUAACAGAUCGUUCCUCUGUACUUCUGUUUCUUCUCUUUAAAAGAUGUCCCUCAUGGUCCUGAUUUCACAGAUUGUUGUGAGGGUUAAAGGACAUACUAUGUAAGUGCUUAGAACAGUAUCUAUCAUAUAAUUUUUGAAAGAAAUAUUAACCGUUGUAAUUUGUAAUCAACCAAUUUAAAGACCCUCAUAUUCUUUUUAGUUUCCCCAGUUAGAAACCAAGGUGUGCUUCUGCCAAAUAUGCCCAGGCACAAUAGCUGGGUCCAGAUGGGAAGACAUCAUUUACACUAUAAAUAGCAGUGUUAUGCCACCUCCAUCAGAAUAUUUUAGACAAUCUAUUGACAACUUUCUGUAAUCAGACUAUAUCUCAUCAUUCAUUCCAUACAUGUUUGUUGAGCACCUAUUAUCUACUAAGAACUACACUGGCUGUGGAAGGUACCCAGGUGAAAAGUAUAGAGCUCACAGAUUAGUGGGAGAGACAAAAACCACACAAUGACUUCUUAUACAGUGUGACAGCUCUUGUACACGAAGAUCGUUAGUUCUCUGGAAAAUGAGUGGGGGAACAAGGGACUCAGGUUUUUUAGGGCUCAGGCCCUGCCCAUUUGUGGGGUGAAGGCUGGAACAGGGUGCAGCCAGCCACACUUGGACUAACCCACCUGCUACUGCCCAGUGAGAAUGCCAUGUUGUGUGGGAGUCAGGACCCUGGCAGUGGGAGACCUUGGAAAUAACAACACUCCGUUCCACAAAGAGCAAGUAACAAUCACACAGCACCGCCCCCAGUACAACAAAAAGACCCACCAAGACAUCCAUGCACACACCCAGCAUACAGAAAUUAUACCAGUCCAUGUUUUUGACAUUUGAGCCAUUAUAGUGGAGUGUUCAUCACUUUGUUCAGACUGUAACGUGGGCUCUUGUUUGGUGGACCAUGCUUUUGUGUAUAUUAUAUACCUGACUCAUCAUGAUAUCAAAAUCCAUCUCCCACAUAAACCUGUUGAAUAGAACUCCCGAUAGUGAAAGCCUGUUCUCUUUUAUUUUUUACCUCUUUGUAUUAAUUUCAGCUUAGUAAAGUCUAAUGGUCUUGUGAUUCCAGGAACAGCAGGUUUCUGGCUAAAAUCAAAACUGUAUGCUUCAGUCACCUAAGGUAAUGCGGCAAGUAUUUGCUUCUGAGGAAUCCAAGAACCAUUUAUAGCUGGGCAGUCAGAGGGCACUGGAACAGGGACGCCACCUGCAGGGCUGAAGGAGAAAAAUACACAGUGAGAAAACACAAACCUUUCUUUACUAACUGGAAAGACAGGAAAAGAAAAGAGAGAAGAAAAGCAGUCCUUACCGAGAUAGAGAGCAAAGAAUUCAGCAGAUCGCUUGUAGAUACAAAUGCAAGAAAAUGCAUUCUUGCCAUAGUUCUGACAAAUUCUCUUCAUUCCUCCCUUUUGGAGUUUCAGAGAGGUUGUAUUUUGUUUUAUUUUUUUCUUUUUCAGAGUGUGGAGAGCCUAAGAAUUUCCCCCAGAGCUCUUACUGCUUAAUGCUGGUGCUACUGCUGGCUAAUCCUUUAAUAAAGAGCAAUGCCAUGUGAAUUAUUCUUUGCUUUGAUAAGGGGAAGUGACUGUCACAGCAAACUGUUAAUACAAGGCGGAGAAGGACAUUCUGGGUUCAGCCCACAGUCUUCUUCCCAUUUUAGUGUCUUCUUCUCUCUGGCAGACCUAAACAUUGAUUCCACCUGCACUCACCCACCUGUUUCUGCAGAAACAAUAGAGCUUGUCUAGAAUUACGGGAACAUUGACAGGGAAAAUUACCAAACGUUAGCUUCCCACAUGCCAUCAGAAAUAAGUUGGUCCAGAAUAAAGCUAUAGCAGAAUUCUUCUGUUUGAAUGUAUACUUCCUAUAAAGGUAACACAUUUUUCUUUGGAUGGACCUGAUUUCAAUACUCUGUGUGCCAUGUAAUCUGAUCAUGUUUCCCACAUGCUCGGCCAUACCUGCACACAGGCUGUUCCUCUGUUAGAUUUGUUUAUUGUUGCUUUCAAGGGGCAAAGCCAGGUUUGGUUGCUAUUUUAUGCAUGUUGUCCGUACCUACCUGUUAACUACCUGCCAUUGCCAGGACCAGGGGACACAGCAGAUAUACAUGUUACUUUUAAGGCUGUCACCAAGAAGUCCGGGAGCCGGAGUUCAGCUGCGUUCUAAGGAACACACCACUCCUACACCUACACACCCGAAGCUGUCCAGAGCCGAUAGGAGCUGGUGUUUCUUGAAGCAUCACAGUGUAGCAGUCAUUGUGGCAGAUUCAGGGAUGUUAGAUGUAGGUGUUUGUUUCUAGAGUGCCUGCCGUCAGGUGGGGGACAGGGGCUGAGAAAGAGGCACACACAAAAAUAUGAUUCAGACCCAGCCUAAGAAAUGAAAUGAACAGAGGUCCAUGAGGCAAAGGAGGGGAGAGUCAGCUGCGGAAUUAUUUGACCAAGAGAACUUGAGUCUAACAUUUCCUCCCUACCCCAGUGCACGCACACACCUUCCCUGACGAGAAGGCUAGAGCAGAAAGGAGGACACAGAGCUCAUGAGCAGCAGGCACCUUGUCAACCUGACACUUUGAAGAGCUUCAAAGGCCACUCUCUGUGAAAGGAACAAAGCCUAAUCAUGUGGAAAAAUACAUUUCCCUAUGGAAAAAAUCUUUUUGAAAUUUCUGGAGGCAUUGAACCUAUUUCAGUUCUCCUUAGGGCAUCUGUUAAGUGGGCACCUUCUUUAAGACAUCCAACGGCAGGAGACUUGUGGGAGACACCACAGGUUUCUCGUGGAUCGUGUUUUGGCCUUGAGGGGUUUCCAUGAAUUGCCUUGUAUGCAGAGGUUGGUUGAAGUGUGGCAUUAGGUUAACUUUGCUCUUAAGAAUUCCACAGGUGCCCUUGCCAAUAGCUUUUCACAGUAGUGACAUUUAAGGGCCUGGUGUUCUGUAUCAGCAUAGCAGAUAUCCGUGUGCCUGGUGCUUGUUGUUUAAAGAUAACAACCAGGGAGGGAAUAUAGACUGUGAUCAACUUUUGUGGAAAUCAGAGUAGAGAGAAAGGAAGAGAGGAUAGUUGGGUGGGCCGUGCCCAUGCCUGAAAUUCAUUCAGCCGCAGAUUUCUUUCGGACUAGGGGAGACCCAGGGAAGGUCGGCACACACAUAAGCAGUCAGUCCCCAGGGAAUGGCACUGACCUGGGUGGAUGAAUGAAUGCCCCACAUUCCAGGGUCGAAACUUCAGUGAUUUCUCAAUGCAUAAGAAGUUGAUCUUUCAGUUGGAACAGAAUUCCAUGAAUCAGUGGAUGGAGAAUGCCUAUUAUAUUCAUUUCUAAUGAAAUGUGUAAUUAUCCAGUGGGCUUAUGUUUGCUAAGCAGCGUAUUCUUUUUUAGGCCACCGAUUUUCACCCGGUGUGCCACAACACACUGUUGUGCUGCAAGGAUUUUUAAGACAUGCGAUUCCUGACUAUUUAGUCAGGGGCACUGACCUCUUUUCUCUUAGACUGUCAAAUU